CCCUUAGAUGUUCUGGGCUGCACGCGCGCUACACUGAUACGUUCAUCGAGCUUACAACCUUGACUGAGAGGUCUGGGUAAUCUUUGAAAGCGUAUCGUGCUGGGGAUAGAUGAUUGUAAUUAUUCAUCUUCAACGAGGAAUUCCUAGUAAACGCGAGUCACUAGCUCGCAUUGAUUACGUCCCUGCCCUUUGUACACACCGCCCGUCGCUGCUACCGAUUGAAUGGCUUAGUGAGUGCCAGGGACCGAGACCAGUGGUUGGGUUUCCUUCCUCUGGAUUUGGGAACUGGUGCAAACUUGAUCAUUUAGAGGAAGCAAAAGUCGUANCA
Molecule: ribosomal RNA, 328 nt
Filed under: uncultured eukaryote
Lineage: Eukaryota
Description: partial 18S ribosomal RNA
Rfam family: Eukaryotic small subunit ribosomal RNA
Source: RNAcentral